Mesocricetus auratus (golden hamster) is the source of this 2408-nucleotide long non-coding RNA. RefSeq lists it as uncharacterized. The record is from RefSeq and is a predicted model, not a curated record. The transcript has 2 exons. Lineage: Eukaryota; Metazoa; Chordata; Mammalia; Rodentia; Cricetidae.
AGAAAACUUGUCUCGAAAAAACCAAAAAAAAAUAAUAUAGAAGUCAACAAACAUAGCUAAGUAUGAUGAUAUGUUCAAAAUCCCAGCACUUGAGAAACUAAACCAAUAGGUGUCUGGUAUCAGCCUGGCUACAUCAUGAAACUUUACCAAUCAAAACACAACCAAAAAGUUAACAAGUAUAAUAUCCUAGUUAGUGUGAGUGAUCUGUAGUUCUGGGUUCUUUUAUUUUUAAAGAGAAAUUAUCUCUAAAACAUGGCAAUAUAGAAAGAAAAAAACCUGAACAUUAAAAGAGUAAAUUGUAUACUGGAUGAAUCACUUACAAAGAGAGAGGAGGUGUCCAGGACACCAUGAGAACACAGCCCACAUAAUCAACAAUCAACUAAGCAGGGUUCAUAGGGGCUCCUAAAGACUGAAGAAGCAGCAAUCACAGAGCCUGCAUGAGUCUGACUAGGUUCUCUGAAUAUGUUACGGUUGUUAGCUUCUUGUGCGACAUCUAACAGUGGAAAUGGGGGUGUCACUGACUGUGUUGCCUACUCUUGGGACCCUUUUCCUCUUACUGGAUUGCUUCACACAACCCUGAAAGAAGAAAGAAGGGUUUAUGCCUAUUCAUGCUAUAACCUGUUAUGCCAUGUUCUGUUGAUAUCCUUGGGAGGCCUGCUGCUUUCUGAAGGGAAGUGAGGAGUAGAUCUGGAGGAAGGGGGAACUGAGAGGAGAGGAGGGAGGGGAAGCUGCGUUUUGGGAUAUACUGUGUGAAAGAGGAAGUUAAAAACUUCAAGGGAGACUGUGCCUAACCUGAGACAUGCUUAACACAAAAAGGUCUGGGCCACACCUCUGCACCAAAUUCCCAAAGCAGACUCAAGCAGAGAUGCAGUAGAGCUUGACUGCCUUCUGGUGUGACACAGACCAGGGACGUGAUGACUCACAAGAUUCCAUCACUGAAGUGCUCACAGGCUGUGAUGUCAGUAUCAGAGAGCCCUUGACCUUUCAACUCCAGGGAGUCAGCACUACCCAGUUGUUUUCUGUGUAGCACUUCUCAGUACACCUUCUCUUCUCCCUUGCCUUUCUCCACUCAGCCUUACCCUAGCACAUCUGUGGGGCAUAAGGAACACAUGUACUACAGACAAGAAUACAAAGACACAGAACCACAGUGUUUUGUGAAACUGGAGAGUCUGGUGUUGGAAGAAUUGAUUAAACUGCAGAAGGCGCUGAGACCCACACUAGGACCUUGAGAAGAAAGCAGGCCACUCAUGGACUAAUCCUUCAGAUCUCUGUUCUUUUCCAGAGGCAAAAUCGCCAUGGUGGUGGCAGUGGCCUGCCUUAAGCCCACUCAGCCUCUAUGGAGCCAAGAUAAAAGGCACAGAAAGGGCUUCUGAGAAGGGGCUAGUCCUCCACCUUUGACUAGCCCAAGAUUCACAUCCAGAUUCCAAUAUUUGUUAGAAAAGAUGAGACCUAUCACUUCAGUGUCUCUUGGAAAAUCAGCAAAAAUCUAUUCAAAAUGUACCAAAGAAAAUUCUGAAAUGACAGAUAGCACAUUAAGGAGCCUUAGACUACAAAAAAAGCUAACUAAAAAAUACCAAGAGCAGGUGAACCACAGCAACAACAGAUCAAGUUAGAAAAAUCCAUUUGGGGAAAUCACAUAUGAGAGUAGCAUAUAUAAAAUGUCACUUUCCCAGACACUGUUUUUAUAUUUUCACUCCUUGGUGGUCAUUUCCUCUACAUCCUGAAAAUAAUCACCUGUCUCUUCAAAAUCAAUGACUUUAGAAAGAAAUCUCCUCUUGAACAUCUUCCAGUGAAAUGAGAACUGAAGCCUUCAUAACAACAGCAACAAAAGAUUCCAGUGCAAAGAAACAAACAACAAUAGGAAGAUGAGAAAAGGAAAUGGAGAUUUGGUGGAGGCUGGAAGAUAGAAGACAUCUUCUGGUUACUUAGAAGAGAAGUGGAAGUAGGAAAAGCUCCACGAGUUUGAAAGCCAGAGGCUUUGUGCUUAUACAGGGCAAUAGUGACACUUGUCUGGCUCCUCCACAAGAAGGAAUAAAAGCCCUGGGAGAGUUCUGCACAGAGAUUCAAGGUCAUUGCAGUGAUACCUUGUGAAUUCUGAUCCUCACACAUGCUCCCCAGUCCUUUUGCUUCAGAGAAAUCUCCCAUCCAGGGAUUGUGAUUUCCUCUAAAAAAAAUAAGCCUGUGAAGUGCUGUGCCGAAAAUCCUGGAGUGUGUGUGGCUGCCUAGCCUUCUACUGCGGAGUCUCUGACCCCACAGAGACACGGAUGCCAGACAGGCAUGCUUAUGUAAACAGUUAAGGGAAGUGAGUCCAAGCCUCCAGAACUUGAACCAGUCACCCUCCCUUCUCCAAAUUUCAUUUCCAAGGUUUCAAUCUAUAGUUCAUUAAAGUCCAAAGAUGAUAAAUGAAA